This 659-nucleotide ribosomal RNA is filed under the name uncultured Bacteroidales bacterium. RNAcentral describes it as "bacterial SSU rRNA". It matches the Rfam family "Bacterial small subunit ribosomal RNA", at positions 72 to 725 of the family's 1533-position model. The record is from RNAcentral. Lineage: Bacteria; Pseudomonadati; Bacteroidota; Bacteroidia; Bacteroidales.
UGGUUUGCUUGCAAACCAAAGCUGGCGACCGGCGCACGGGUGAGUAACACGUAUCCAACCUGCCUCAUACUCGGGGAUAGCCUUUCGAAAGAAAGAUUAAUAUCCGAUAGCAUAUAUUUCCCGCAUGGGUUUUAUAUUAAAGAAAUUCGGUAUGAGAUGGGGAUGCGUUCCAUUAGUUUGUUGGCGGGGUAACGGCCCACCAAGACUACGAUGGAUAGGGGUUCUGAGAGGAAGGUCCCCCACAUUGGAACUGAGACACGGUCCAAACUCCUACGGGAGGCAGCAGUGAGGAAUAUUGGUCAAUGGACGCGAGUCUGAACCAGCCAAGUAGCGUGAAGGAUGACUGCCCUAUGGGUUGUAAACUUCUUUUAUAUGGGAAUAAAGUGGUCCACGUGUGGAUUUUUGUAUGUACCAUAUGAAUAAGGAUCGGCUAACUCCGUGCCAGCAGCCGCGGUAAUACGGAGGAUCCGAGCGUUAUCCGGAUUUAUUGGGUUUAAAGGGAGCGUAGGCGGAUUGUUAAGUCAGUUGUGAAAGUUUGCGGCUCAACCGUAAAAUUGCAGUUGAUACUGGAUAUCUUGAGUGCAGUUGAGGCAGGCGGAAUUCGUGGUGUAGCGGUGAAAUGCUUAGAUAUCACGAGGAACUCCGAUUGCGAAGGCAGC